Molecule: non-coding RNA, 1052 nt
Organism: Sesamum indicum (sesame)
Lineage: Eukaryota; Viridiplantae; Streptophyta; Magnoliopsida; Lamiales; Pedaliaceae
Source: RefSeq, a predicted model, not a curated record
UAGUAAUAAUUAAGAAGGUCCAGAAGGAAAAAUCUCACAAUCUGCUUGCCAAAUCGAUAGAUCGAAGCCCUCGUUUUCCUCUCAGCUGGCCACUGGAAGCAGCCAGAGAAGCCCGUAAACGAUCGCUUUCAGCCAAUUUCAUCCCAAGUUCAAGCUUCGACCUUAAUCGGACCCUAGCCUCGAAUUUCAGUAAGAGGAAACAACAGUACAUAGGAGAAUACUAGAGUAUAACUAAGGGUGGUGGUGUUGGCGGUGAAGUAAUUCAGGUUACAAUGCUGAAAAACCCUGGUAUGGAUUCACCGGCAGCCGCGCCACCGUUAAGCGCUACGCUCCUCCCAAUCAACGGAAUCGAUCACUUGGCAGGCGCAAAUCCGGAGGAGAUCGUCUCGAACGGGCGAAUAGCUAUGUUAGUGAUGGAGAGAGAAACCCCAUUGGUGCAACUAAGAGCAAUCCUGUAGCAGAUCUUGGAGAAGGUGUUGGGAAUGUUCGUGCCAGCGAAAGCCUUUGGGUAAAGUUGAUACCUUUACAUGGCUGUUGCAACAGUGAAGCCUUUCAGCUUUUAAACAACCGUUGGGCUGCUACCAUGAGUGCGUACAACAAUUUGCCGGAAGAUUCAGCUGAAAGGCCAGUCUUGUACACAAGGAAAAGCGCAUCAGCCUGGGGUCAUGCAAUUCUUCCUCAUCUACUUAUUCAACCUACUGCUGGGGCUUCUACCGGUUUCCAGAGAGAUUUCUUGACCGAACUCCGACAGGCAAUGCAGAAUGCAAAUCCUUCUCCGAACCCCUGACCUGUGGGACGUAACUCGAAAUGCAACAAAAUCGUCUGUCUUGGACUCGGUAUCCUUUGACCUGUAUGCUAAUGAAUUUCUUGCUUGUUCUCAUAUAAUUUAUGAGCCAAGUGCAAGAACCACAAAGAUGGCUCUCCUUAACGUCGUGUAUGAUUAUUAGGAUGCUGUGUUAGUAUAAAGUAUCUGUUAUUGUAUGGAAUUGAAUUGAGUAUCUUGUCUGUGUUACAUAUUCUAUCCAAAACUCUUUUCCCCGAUCGUAUCUCAA